This 639-nucleotide ribosomal RNA is filed under the name uncultured fungus. Its description in RNAcentral is "eukaryotic LSU rRNA". It matches the Rfam family "Eukaryotic large subunit ribosomal RNA", at positions 24 to 664 of the family's 3401-position model. Lineage: Eukaryota; Fungi. The record is from RNAcentral.
CCCGCUGAACUUAAGCAUAUCAAUAAGCGGAGGAAAAGAAACUAACAAGGAUUCCCCUAGUAACUGCGAGUGAAGCGGGAAGAGCUCAAAUUUAAAAUCUGGCGGUCUCGUGGCCGUCCGAGUUGUAAUCUGGAGAAGCGUUUUCCGCGUCGGACCGUGUACAAGUCUUCUGGAACGGAGCGUCGUAGAGGGUGAGAAUCCCGUCUCUGACACGGACAGCCGAUGCUUCAUGUGAUACGCUCUCGAAGAGUCGAGUUGUUUGGGAAUGCAGCUCAAAAUGGGUGGUAAAUUCCAUCUAAAGCUAAAUAUUGGCGAGAGACCGAUAGCGAACAAGUACCGUGAGGGAAAGAUGAAAAGCACUUUGGAAAGAGAGUUAAACGGUACGUGAAAUUGUUGAAAGGGAAACGUUUGAAGUCAGUCGCGUCGGCCGAGACUCAACCCCGCCUUUUGGCAGGGCGCAAUUCUCGGUCGACGGGUCAGCAUCAAUUUCGAUCGUCGGAUAAAGGUCGAGGGAACGUGGCAUCCUCUGGGGUGUGUUAUAGACCUCGAUUCGGAUACGGCGAUUGGGAUUGAGGAACUCGGCGCUCUGCGUCCAGGAUGCUGGCAUAAUGGCUUUAAGCGACCCGUCUUGAAACACGG